CGGCAUUUUCACCUACCCAACCCACCCCCUGCAACCUGUCAAGGAGUAAGAAUUUAUGAACACCAAACUCAAUACCAACCGUGCGGCCUUAGUCACCAAGAAUGACUAAGCCUCUCCAAAUAAUUAGCCUACAAGGUAGACUAAUAAGGGUGACAAAAAUAAAGUAAAAUGUGAAGGUAUAAAAGGAAAUAAAGGAUAAUAAGUGGGAAGAGUUUCACAAAGGGAAGGAAAUUUUAUAACUCAAUAAGAAUAGAGCUUUACAAGAGAGCACCUAUACAAG
This 280-nucleotide unclassified non-coding RNA is filed under the name Hevea brasiliensis (rubber tree). Lineage: Eukaryota; Viridiplantae; Streptophyta; Magnoliopsida; Malpighiales; Euphorbiaceae. The record is from RNAcentral.